GUCCAAUCGCGUCCCGCAAACCCUAGCCGCCGCUGGCCUCCCCCUACCCGUGCCGCAGACGCACACCAUCCUCUUCUCCUCCCUCCCGUCAGCGACCUGCCUCCACUCCGCGAGGCAGAUCGAUCGAGACCCAUGGCUGGGGUCGCUACUGUGCCUCGCCGCGCAGCGCAUCGGGUAUCCACCUCCCAUCCCCCACCUUCCUCCUUCAAAUUUUGGCAGCAACGACCGUGAGUGUGGCUGCUCCUCGUCCGUGCUCCGGCAGACGUUCCCUACCCCCCCCCCCCCCCCUCCGCUGACGGUGGCCAGAACGAGGUGGGUUCAACCGGCAGAGCCCCGGGUGAGAUCGCGUGCGAGUGGACGGAGCAGGCGCUCGUGGUCGUGGUGAACCAUGGGCGCAGUCGGAGCAGAGAGUCGGGGCGUAGGAGAUGAGGAGAACGGCGUAGGCUUCAUGAUGGAAGGAGAUACGGCGGCGGACAAGGAGGAGGUCGGGGGUUACACGGAGGUACAGGUGGAUGUCAGCAACCUGCCCCCUACGACAUCGAUGGUACUUUGACGUUAGAAGGGAUGCUUGCCCCUUUGGCGGAUGAUGUUUUUACAAGCAUGCCUACACCGAUGGGCAUUUGGAGGAGCCGGCAACGGUGGCAGUGCUUCAUUUUCAUGCCGACAAUGGAAGUAUGGACCAGCAAGAAAUAUCGAGUUGAAAAUUCCGUUCGAACAUGCAGAUUGGCAUACUUGCUGAGAAGGUUACAACUGUAGAAGGAAGCAGUUGAGAAGAGAAGCACUUAGGGGAUGAUGUCGAUCUUGCACAUUCAGCUUUAUGUAAAUGCUUCUUCGUGUACCAUGUAUGGCAGUUUGCUAAAAAAGAAAAAGAAAACAACGGAGCAAAUUAAAAUAUAAUAUGUUUAUCAAAAAGGCAGAAGGCCCCCAGCUAGAUUGACGAGAAAGUUUAUUUUGCACAUGGUCUUUUCUGGUUUUGUCCUUGUAGCAAGAAGUACAUUUUUAUAACAAUAUCAACUUUGCUCUGGUGUGUGCAUUGAUUUCAUUCAGAUACAGACCUUUUGGAAAUUGUGGUUUUCUUUUGUAUUUUUGUCCUAAUAUGGAAUGUUCUAUUGCUGGAUUGAAUUACUCUCUCAGCAUUUUUAUUUUGACAUAUUAUAAUGCUCAGUUUGUUUACAGGCUGCUGAAUACUGUCGGAGGAAGGAAUCAGUGCUGAGGUGAUCAACAUUCGAUCAGUUAGGCCACUGGAUAGAGCUGCGAUAAAAGCAUAUGUUACGAAAAUAAAUAGGUUGGUGAUUCUUGAAGAAGGCUCCCCCCAACAUCGUGUUGGUGCUGAGAUAUGGUUUUCUCUCUCUCUCUCUCUCUCUCUCUCUCUCUCUCUCCACACACAUCCCAACCCUCUUCCAAUUAUUCAUUCAAAUUAUUGUACAGAAUCUACAAUUAUAAGAAAGAAGAAUUUGAUAAAUUAGAGAGAGAUAUGCUUUCAUAAAUUGCUCACCCCUGAAGGUUACAAAUUCAAGUGCUGGGUUCGAAGGAUGAAGCAAAUCCCAAGUCACAUGUUAAUAUAUCUUGAUGCACAUUGUAUUUACUUUGCUUCAGGUUCGCAUGCAGUGACGGAGAUUUCAUCGGCUCGCCUCCAUUUUCUUGGUGAACCCACAUUUCCCUCUAAGGUACAUUCUGAAGGAGAAGAUUGCUGGUUGAGAAGGCCAUUUAUCUGAUAUUAGUUUAUUGAAGAAAUUGCCCAUGAUGUAUUUUCAGUACAUUAGGAUUUUUGUAGUCGCAUGGUUCUGAUAGGAAGAUACCGUUUCUACCAGGUCAACAAUCUCCCCUUCAAUAAUAUUUGAUUUACAUUUUGUAUGCCAUUCAUCGAAUCAAUGUGGAUUACAAUGACCACUCGUAUGUUUUGAUUGCAGUACUUCUCUAUGCUAUUUCACUAUUUUGGACUCAUGUUCUUUUCAUUGUGAUGUAGUAAUAAGUGAAAUAAAUUGAGUCUAAUUCUUUGUGUGGACAUAGGCGUUUCAAAGAAAUAUAUGGCUUGUUUUAUUUUUGGCACUUUCUUUCCGGCCACUGGAUAUGCACUUAAGUUCCCCAACCAGAAGCAUCUCCCUGUCCAUGUAACCAAUAAUAUUUUGGAAGUAGAAUGUACUCAGGAUCAUAAUGGAAAAUUUUGUUUUUCUGAAAACCAUGUCCCACUGUACAUGGCACGAGAGUUUGAGCAGAAACCUGGGGUUAGCUCCUUGCCUACUCCAGGAAUUGUGCACUCGAACUAUUUGAGCAGGGUUUUUUCUGUCUUUUGGAUAGCAUCUUGCAGCCAACAUUUCUGAAUUCCAGCAUUGGUAUCAUUAAGCAUUUUAGUUCUACCCCAUAUGGAUAUUAGUUAACUUUAUGUUCUUAUGACGUAAGUACAUGCGAAUUGUUCCGUUCCUUCUGGAAUCAAAUCUUUUUGGAUGUCCGAAAGCACUUCUGGUGGAUCAGAAAAUUGUGUUUUUCUCAGCAUCUUAGUUUUUCUCUAUGGAAGUAUUUAAAACAGUCAUCAUUCUUUCAAGAAUGUUACCAAUACAACACUGUUUUUGUGUUCCGAAUUAUGCGUAAAUGCCCAAGGGCAGUGGACCAAAGUCAACAACAUAAGUUGUUUGGCAAAUGUGUCUUAGUUCCCUUUCAGUCUCUUUUGUAACAUCAUCUCUUUUAAAAAAGAUCUUUUCUAUAUCAGUGCACUGUAAAUAUAGAAAUGUUGGUUUAAUCGAGUGUGAGAUUGUCGGUUACCAUGAAGGAAAUCACUGUAAGAUUUGAGAGAUGCAAGGCUAACGUAAAAGCAGUAAGAGUCUUUGAGAUGCCAAAACUUCUCUCAUACAUGUAUUUUGUGUACAUGUAAAUCUUGAUCUUCCAGCAACAUUGACAGCAGGAUAAUUCUCUUUCUUUUAGUUGACCACAACAUGUGAUCAGGGCCCAUUUGGAAUGCAACUAAUGUCAAGUGCACCAUCAUCUUAAGCAUUAUUUACUCAUGUUGUCACUGAUUGCAUAUACAAUACCAUCAGAAGCAUCCAUUAAAAAUGUGUCCUUAGAAGCAUCCAUUCAAAAAAGUGUUGAAGAACUAUAGAAGGCUGGGUGUUGGCUGAUGUUGUUUCGGUUACCAUUCCUUGUGAUUCUAAGUUAUUUGCAACAUAGUAAAUACUUAGUAUACCAGUCAUAUUUUCUUGUCAACAUGCACCUAUUUGGAGGCUUAUCCGGUAUUAUUGCAAUCUGGUAGAACUGUGAUACUACUAAGAAUUGAAUAUUUUUAGUCGGAAUACUAUUUUAAUGAUCAAUCACAAUGUUGGACGCGACCACCUACUUAUUCCUGAGACUUUAAGUCUUUGGUGGCUUAAGCACAAUAUGCCCGGCAUAUGUUCUACAUCUGCGGCAUGUAAUGAUCCUACUGGCAUUUCAAGAGGUCUUGUAAAUACAACACUCUUCCAAAGUAUUUCCAAGUCUGGACGGUUAUUGAGCCUGCAUUGAUGAAAUAGUUGACAAAGAAGGAACUGAAAUGAGGUUACUGAGCCUGCAUUGAAGAAUUUUGGUUGAUGAGCUGAUAUCUGACCAAAAACUCAAGAACUAGAAGCAAGCCUGACAUCCUUUUUCUAUAAUCGAUAAAUCUGAACCUGCUCAGACCACGGGGAGGAUUUCUCUGGUGGACUAUCGCUGGCAAGGUUGGCAUGGGAGUAGGCCCGUACCAUGGGUUCGUGUGGCUGGAGGACCGUGGCCAGUGCUGCGAUUGCCUGGUGUCCAUGUGGGGCAUAGCUUGGCAUUAGGUGAUAUCCUUCUAUGAUAACCUAGCUGUACACAAUUUCUUCAAAGAAAAUUAAGAUUGAUAUCAAAGUUGAGAUUUGCAAUGUAUUUAAAUUAGUUCUUAAAUUGCUCCCAAAGCUACUGAAAUUUCCCUUAUUAUAUUUUUCUGUAGAUACUGAUUGUUCUAAAUUAAACCCACUACUUAAAUUCCAUACAAAUGAGAGGCUCAAGGAAGCAACAAGUAGGAUGAAGGAGUUAGCGGGCAGAAGCAUCACAGAAAAACAAGAAUAUGUUUGCUCCCCAUGCUUUGCAUUGAUGUAUAGGUUCGGAAGUUUAAAAGCUUCAUGCGCUCCCCAUGCUUUGUAUUGAUGUAUUGGUACGGAAUUUAGAAGCUUCAUGCUUUGUAUCUCAGUAUGUUCACAGUGGCUUCAAUCUACAAUUUAAAAAGGUGAAUAUUGGCUGGAUAAUGACACAAGUGAUGCGGCUCCAGUCAUGUUUCUUAAGCUACCGUGGUUAUAUCAUCACUAGGCCAUAUAGUUUACCACUAACCUUCUUAAGUACUUCCACUUAACCAUCAUGAUUGCCGACUAAUUUUUGUGUUCAUGGUUAUAUUUCAGAGAACCGGUUCAGAUAAAUGCGAACACUGGUUGGGGGUUCUAAGAAGGAUGACCCAAAAUGGGAGCAUGACAGACACCAUGGUCCAGGAAAUAAGGGGGAAUCCCGUGGUGUCUACUAUGCUUUCAGAAAUCCUAUGCAGUCAGGGAGAUUCCUUUAGAUUUUUGCAUGAUGAGCAGAUAGAUGUAAAGGGUCGUGGUGUCUACUAUGCUUUUCAGAAAGGAUUUACUAUAUUUUUGCAGCAGGCUACAUGCUUCUCUGAAUGACCAUUUAAGGAGUGAACAUGAACUGCUAAUGUAUAUGUUCCAUGCUCCAUGGGGAGGGAACAAGGAUUGAUUUUUGCGGGGAGUAGGGAGAGUAUGGUGAGUUACUUCUAUAGUGCUAUGGUUCACAAACUGUAAGUUGGUGAUCUAUGAAAUAUCUUUGUUGUUGCUUUAAGGGGCUUCUAGAACUACUUGAUUGUGAAACAAGUCACUAGGUACUGCUCAGAUGAAUUAUAUGGAUGGUACCACCGUCCAACCUGUAGAAACUCCUAUCCCUGAAUUUCUAUUUAUUGGAACCAUUAGAUUUAUUAGUAUUUUAUAGUCAUUAUGUUUCUACAGAGGCUAUGUGAAGCAAAGAAACUCCUAUCCCUUUUAAAUUUUAAUACAUGUAAAGUACUACAUGUC
Triticum aestivum (bread wheat) is the source of this 5045-nucleotide long non-coding RNA. RefSeq lists it as uncharacterized. The record is from RefSeq and is a predicted model, not a curated record. The transcript is spliced from 12 exons. NCBI's taxonomy places the organism in Eukaryota, Viridiplantae, Streptophyta, Magnoliopsida, Poales, Poaceae.